RNAcentral lists this unclassified non-coding RNA (399 nucleotides) under fungal sp. Its description in RNAcentral is "partial internal transcribed spacer region". The stretch from base 1 to 46 matches the Rfam family "Eukaryotic small subunit ribosomal RNA", at positions 1786 to 1831 of the family's 1831-position model. Lineage: Eukaryota; Fungi. The record is from RNAcentral.
AAGUCGUAACAAGGUUUCCGUAGGUGAACCUGCGGAAGGAUCAUUAACGAAAAUUCCGUUAACAUGGGAUCCGAUGAAAAAAAGAUAUGGAUGUAACAUUCCCAUACCGUAUAAAACACCGAAGACUUGAAUAAGUAACGGUUUAAUUUGGCAAGACUUCGAGGGCUAUCUUCGACCUUCUUCGACUUUCGCUAUGACCGAUCGAGGAAAGGCGGUCUGCCAAAUGGAACUCUCUUGCAAGACUUCGAGGGCUAUCUUCGACCUUUUUCGUCUUUCGCCAUGAUCGAUCGAAUAAAGGCGGUCUGCAAGCAAAUAAAAAUAAUCAUUCAAAUAAAAUCUGAAACUUUUUGAGAAAUCAAAUUACAAAUAUAACUUUCAGCAACGGAUCUCUUGGUUCUC